GGUCAAGUUAUUAAGGGUGCAGGGCGGAUGCCUUGGCACUAGGAGCCGAUGAAGGACGUGAUAAGCUGCGAUAAGCUUCGGGGAGUUGCACGUAAACUUUGAUCCGAAGAUUUCCGAAUGAGGAAACUCACUUAGAGUAAUGUCUAAGUAUCAUUAAGUGAAUACAUAGCUUAAUGAGGGGAACUCAGGGAACUGAAACAUCUAAGUACCUGAAGGAAGAGAAAGAAAUUCGAUUCCGUAAGUAGCGGCGAGCGAACGCGGAUUAGCCCAAACCAAUAAAGUUUUCUUUAUUGGGGUUGCGGACAUAUCAUAACGAAGAGGUAUCGUAAUUGAAGAGGUUUGGAAAGACCCACCACAGAAGGUAAUAGUCCUGUAUGUUAAACGAGAAGACUUUAGAUAUGAUCCAGAGUACCACGGGACACGUGAAACCCUGUGGGAAGCAGGAGGGACCACCCUCCAAGGCUAAAUACUACCUAGUGACCGAUAGCGUAUAGUACCGUGAGGGAAAGGUGAAAAGAACCCCGGGAGGGGAGUGAAAUAGAACCUGAAACCCUGCACUUACAAGCUGUGGAAGCACAUUUCUUGUGUGACCGCGUACUUUUUGUAGAACGGGCCAACGAGUUACGUUAAGUAGCAAGGUUAAGCACUUAAGGUGCGGAGCCGUAGCGAAAGCGAGUUUUAACUGAGCGUUCAGUUACUUGACGUAGACCCGAAACCGGGCGACCUACCCAUGAGCAGGAUGAAGCGAAAGUAAAAUUUCGUGGAGGUCCGAACCCACGAGCGUUGAAAAGCUCGGGGAUGACUUGUGGGUAGCGGUGAAAUUCCAAUCGAGCCCGGAGAUAGCUGGUUCUCCCCGAAAUAGCUUUAGGGCUAGCCUCAAGGUGAGAGAUACGGAGGUAGAGCACUGAAUGUCCUAGGGGGUAUUGCACCUACCGAAGACUAUCAAACUCCGAAUGCCGUCAUCUUAUACUUGGGAGUCAGACUGUGGGUGAUAAGAUUCAUAGUCGAAAGGGCAACAGCCCAGAUCGUCAGCUAAGGUCCCUAAAUGUAAGUUAAGUGGUAAAGGAUGUGGGAUUGCACAGACAACCAGGAUGUUGGCUUAGAAGCAGCCACUCAUUCAAAGAGUGCGUAAUAGCUCACUGGUCGAGUGAUCCUGCGCCGAAGAUUUCCGGGGCUAAAACUUACUACCGAAGCUACGGCAUCAGUAAUGAUGGGUAGGGGAGCUUCCCAUACGGGUUGAAGCAUGACCGUAAGGACAUGUGGACAGUAUGGGAGUGAGAAUGUUGGCAUGAGUAGCGAGAUGUGGGUGAGAAUCCCACAGGCCGUAAACCCAAGGUUUCCAGGGGAAGGUUCGUCCGCCCUGGGUUAGUCGGGACCUAAGCUGAGGCCGAAAGGCGUAGGUGAUGGACAACAGGUUGAUAUUCCUGUACUAC
RNAcentral lists this ribosomal RNA (1433 nucleotides) under Clostridioides difficile. RNAcentral describes it as "partial 23S ribosomal RNA". It matches the Rfam family "Bacterial large subunit ribosomal RNA", at positions 1 to 1447 of the family's 2925-position model. Lineage: Bacteria; Bacillati; Bacillota; Clostridia; Peptostreptococcales; Peptostreptococcaceae. The record is from RNAcentral.